This 279-nucleotide ribosomal RNA is filed under the name uncultured bacterium. RNAcentral describes it as "partial 16S ribosomal RNA". It matches the Rfam family "Bacterial small subunit ribosomal RNA", at positions 506 to 784 of the family's 1533-position model. The record is from RNAcentral.
UGCCAGCAGCCGCGGUAAUACGGAGGGGGCUAGCGUUGUUCGGAUUUACUGGGCGUAAAGCGCGCGUAGGCGGCCUGGAUAGUUGGGAGUGAAAGCCCGGGGCUCAACCCCGGAACUGCUCUCAAAACUUCCAAGCUAGAGAUCUGGAGAGGAGGGUGGAAUUCCAAGUGUAGAGGUGAAAUUCGUAGAUAUUUGGAAGAACACCAGUGGCGAAGGCGACUCUCUGGCCAGAUACUGACGCUGAGGUGCGAAAGCGUGGGGAGCAAACAGGAUUAGAUA